This 463-nucleotide ribosomal RNA is filed under the name Vreelandella stevensii. Its description in RNAcentral is "partial 16S ribosomal RNA". It matches the Rfam family "Bacterial small subunit ribosomal RNA", at positions 339 to 795 of the family's 1533-position model. The record is from RNAcentral. Lineage: Bacteria; Pseudomonadati; Pseudomonadota; Gammaproteobacteria; Oceanospirillales; Halomonadaceae.
CUACGGGUGCUGCAGUGGGGAAUAUUGGACAAUGGGCGAAAGCCUGAUCCAGCCAUGCCGCGUGUGUGAAGAAGGCCUUCGGGUUGUAAAGCACUUUCAGUGGGGAAGAAAGCCUUGGGGCUAAUACCCUCGAGGAAGGACAUCACCCACAGAAGAAGCACCGGCUAACUCCGUGCCAGCAGCCGCGGUAAUACGGAGGGUGCGAGCGUUAAUCGGAAUUACUGGGCGUAAAGCGCGCGUAGGCGGUCUGAUAAGCCGGUUGUGAAAGCCCCGGGCUCAACCUGGGAACGGCAUCCGGAACUGUCAGGCUAGAGUGCAGGAGAGGAAGGUAGAAUUCCCGGUGUAGCGGUGAAAUGCGUAGAGAUCGGGAGGAAUACCAGUGGCGAAGGCGGCCUUCUGGACUGACACUGACGCUGAGGUGCGAAAGCGUGGGUAGCAAACAGGAUUAGAUACCCGAGUAGUC